This 1093-nucleotide long non-coding RNA is filed under the name Homo sapiens (human). RNAcentral describes it as "non-protein coding lnc-TCP11-2:10". The record is from RNAcentral. Lineage: Eukaryota; Metazoa; Chordata; Mammalia; Primates; Hominidae.
CGGGUCGUCGCUAUAGCAAUCGGGAACCGCUACCUGUCCAUUCCAAGGAUUCGGUCCAGCAGAAGCGUGAGGAGGUGGCGGAGGCCCCGAGGGCUUUGCGUCAUCACUUCUGCGGCCUGCGGGCGAGAAGGUGCGCUUCGGGAGUAGCGCGGGAGGACAGGAGGCGCAGGUUGUGAGGGACGCAGGCCCUGGGGCUUCGGUCUCUGUCCUCCGAGCUCAGAGCCUCCAGGCUUCUUCCCGGCCGCGCGCUCAGCACUCACUGUCUUACGGUCCCGAAGCGCUUUAAGGUGCGCAGUCCGCAGGCCUUGCCUACUGAUCUUCCAGCCACCCCUUGAAGGAAGCAGUUGCAGGUAUUAAGAGCUCCUUAUUGAAAAGGACGAUGUAGAGGGGCGGUGAGGGACUCGCCUCCGCAGGGAGGGCGCCCUGGCGGUCUUCUCAGGUUCUCUCUCAUUCCCGCGUCAGCUCCACCGUCAGGCUCGAAACCGACUACUCCCUUUUGUAGGCUUGCUUUGGGUUGAACAUAAAAACCAAGCCCCUUUACUAUUUCCCUGCUGGGAGGGGCUGCGAUUGGGAAAUUUUCAGAAACCUGAGGGAAAAUUAAAAGGGAGCGAGCUUUCGGUAAAAAAUCAAAUUAAAAAGGAGGGGCGUUAGAGAAGGAACUGGUAAAGAUUGCCUUUUAGGAGAGGAACUGGGUGGCUGGAAGAAUGAGGUGAGAAACUUUCCCCUCUCUAUCCUUUCAGACUUUAACUGGUUUCUUUUGUAUCUUCCCCGCCCCGAAAACAAUUUAACUUAAUAAGAAUAAUUUUUAAAGGACGUAAACUAGACACAGUUACAAAGUACGGGGUUUGGGGCUUGUGGUAGCUAAAGGUGUCUUUGGGGAUGCGGGCAUCCUUUUCCUCUCCUGCCUGAAGAGCUUAACUAGAAAGCCCCCCUUUCGGUCUUAGACAUCCCCUCUUCCUGACUUGUUCUGGCUGGGACCAGAGUUCAGUUUAGGUAGGCCAGUGAGUGACAUUUGAUGGUUAGAAUUCCUACGGUUAGAAUUAAUCCCUUCUGUAUCUCCUAGUAUGGAAAUAAACUGCCUGGCCACUAUGCU